GAUGAACGCUGGCGGCGUGCCUAAUACAUGCAAGUCGAGCGAACAGACGAGGAGCUUGCUCCUCUGACGUUAGCGGCGGACGGGUGAGUAACACGUGGAUAACCUACCUAUAAGACUGGGAUAGCUUCGGGAAACCGGAGCUAAUAUCGGAUAAUAUAUUGAACCGCAUGGUUCAAUAGUGAAAGACGGUUUUGCUGUCACUUAUAGAUGGAUCCGCGCCGCUUUGGCUAGUUGGUAAGGUAAAGGCUUACCAAGGCAACGAUGCGUAGCCGACCUGGGAGGGGGGUCGCCCACCUUGGAACUGAACCACGGUCCAGGCGCCUGAGGGAGGCAGCAGUAGGGAAUCGGCCGCAAUAGGCGAAAGCUUGACAGAGCAACGCCGCGUGAGUGAUGAAGGUCUUCGGAUCGUAAAACUCUGUUAUUGGGGAAGAACAAAUGUGUAAGUAACUAUGCACGUCUUGACGGUACCUAAUCAGAAAGCAACGGCUAACUACGUG
Molecule: ribosomal RNA, 497 nt
Filed under: uncultured bacterium
Lineage: Bacteria
Description: partial 16S ribosomal RNA
Rfam family: Bacterial small subunit ribosomal RNA
Source: RNAcentral